UGAGCGAACUAUGCGGCAGCGGAAACGUUUUAGUUUAUGAGGAAAGUCCGGGCAUCACAGAGCAGGGUAACUGCUAACGGCAGCCGAGGGCGACCUUAGGGCAAGUGCAACAGAAAUAAAACUUCAUUUCUCCGAUGGGAGGGGUGUAAAGGUGGAAAGGCGAGGUAAAAGCUCACCAGAGUGCGUGAGAGCGUACUGCUGUGUAAACCCUACCCGAUGCAACGUCUAUUGGUGCUUUAUAUCUCAACGUCUGCUCGGCGGAUAUAAAGUAAUGACGGCUUGAGCUUAUCGGCGACGAUAAGAGUAGAUAAAUUGCCGCACACGAC
Molecule: RNase P RNA, 326 nt
Filed under: Ruminococcus sp.
Lineage: Bacteria; Bacillati; Bacillota; Clostridia; Eubacteriales; Oscillospiraceae
Description: partial RNase P RNA component class A
Rfam family: Bacterial RNase P class A
About the family: Ribonuclease P (RNase P) is a ubiquitous endoribonuclease, found in archaea, bacteria and eukarya as well as chloroplasts and mitochondria. Its best characterised activity is the generation of mature 5'-ends of tRNAs by cleaving the 5'-leader elements of precursor-tRNAs.
Source: RNAcentral